Molecule: ribosomal RNA, 465 nt
Filed under: Vreelandella stevensii
Lineage: Bacteria; Pseudomonadati; Pseudomonadota; Gammaproteobacteria; Oceanospirillales; Halomonadaceae
Description: partial 16S ribosomal RNA
Rfam family: Bacterial small subunit ribosomal RNA
Source: RNAcentral
CCUACGGGUGGCUGCGGUGGGGAAUAUUGGACAAUGGGGGGAACCCUGAUCCAGCCAUGCCGCGUGUGUGAAGAAGGCCCUCGGGUUGUAAAGCACUUUCAGUGAGGAAGAACGCCUGGUGGUUAAUACCCAUCAGGAAAGACAUCACUCACAGAAGAAGCACCGGCUAACUCCGUGCCAGCAGCCGCGGUAAUACGGAGGGUGCGAGCGUUAAUCGGAAUUACUGGGCGUAAAGCGCGCGUAGGUGGCUUGAUAAGCCGGUUGUGAAAGCCCCGGGCUCAACCUGGGAACGGCAUCCGGAACUGUCAAGCUAGAGUGCAGGAGAGGAAGGUAGAAUUCCCGGUGUAGCGGUGAAAUGCGUAGAGAUCGGGAGGAAUACCAGUGGCGAAGGCGGCCUUCUGGACUGACACUGACACUGAGGUGCGAAAGCGUGGGUAGCAAACAGGAUUAGAUACCCGGGUAGUC